UAGCGUAGGGUGCAAGCGUUUAAUCGGAAUUACUGGGCGUAAAGCGUGCGCAGGCGGCUAUGCAAGACAGAUGUGAAAUCCCCGGGCUCAACCUGGGAAUUGCAUUUGUGACUGCACGGCUAGAGUGUGUCAGAGGGGGGUAGAAUUCCACGUGUAGCAGUGAAAUGCGUAGAGAUGUGGAGGAAUACCGAUGGCGAAGGCAGCCCCCUGGGUCAAGAUUGACGCUCAUGCACGAAAGCGUGGGGAGCAAACAGG
RNAcentral lists this ribosomal RNA (255 nucleotides) under uncultured bacterium. RNAcentral's name for it is "partial 16S ribosomal RNA". It matches the Rfam family "Bacterial small subunit ribosomal RNA", at positions 523 to 776 of the family's 1533-position model. The record is from RNAcentral.